GCCGUCGUGGCGGAAUUGGCAGACGCGACGGAUUCAAGAUCCGUUGGGGUUACACCCGUGUGGGUUCGACUCCCACCGGCGGCACAA
This 87-nucleotide transfer RNA is filed under the name Parcubacteria group bacterium QH_9_35_7. Its description in RNAcentral is "tRNA-Leu". It matches the Rfam family "tRNA". Rfam says of the family: Transfer RNA (tRNA) molecules are approximately 80 nucleotides in length. Their secondary structure includes four short double-helical elements and three loops (D, anti-codon, and T loops). Further hydrogen bonds mediate the characteristic L-shaped molecular structure. tRNAs have two regions of fundamental functional importance: the anti-codon, which is responsible for specific mRNA codon recognition, and the 3' end, to which the tRNAs corresponding amino acid is attached (by aminoacyl-tRNA synthetases). tRNAs cope with the degeneracy of the genetic code in two manners: having more than one tRNA (with a specific anti-codon) for a particular amino acid; and 'wobble' base-pairing, i.e. permitting non-standard base-pairing at the 3rd anti-codon position. The record is from RNAcentral.